CAGUAGCCGCGGGAAUACAGAGGGUGCGAGCGUUAAUCGGAUUUACUGGGCGUAGAGCGUGCGUAGGCGGCUUUUUAAGUCGGAUGUGAAAUCCCUGAGCUUAACUUAGGAAUUGCAUUCGAUACUGGGAAGCUAGAGUAUGGGAGAGGAUGGUAGAAUUCCAGGUGUAGCGGUGAAAUGCGUAGAGAUCUGGAGGAAUACCGAUGGCGAAGGCAGCCAUCUGGCCUAAUACUGACGCUGAGGUACGAAAGCAUGGGGAGCAAACAGGAUUAGAGACCCCAGUAGUCCCUGUCUCUUAUAC
Molecule: ribosomal RNA, 301 nt
Filed under: uncultured bacterium
Lineage: Bacteria
Description: partial 16S ribosomal RNA
Rfam family: Bacterial small subunit ribosomal RNA
Source: RNAcentral